Molecule: long non-coding RNA, 4001 nt
Organism: Brassica napus (rape)
Lineage: Eukaryota; Viridiplantae; Streptophyta; Magnoliopsida; Brassicales; Brassicaceae
Exons: 2
Source: RefSeq, a predicted model, not a curated record
CCAUCAAAAUCACCUUGGAGUUGUGCAGCAUUUUACGUAAAUAACCAAGCUGAAAAAGAACAUGGAGUACCACAAUUAGUAAUCAAUUAUAAACCAUUAAAUGAUGUUUUACAAUGGAUCAGAUAUCCAAUACCAAAUAAAAGAGAUGUAUUAAAUCAAUUAUAUGAUGCAAAAAUAUUCUCAAAAUUUUACAUGAAAAGCAGAUUUUGGCAAAUACAAAUAUCCGAAAAUGAUAAAUACAAAACUGCAUUCACAGUACCAUUUGGACAUUACGAAUGGAACGUAAUGCCCUUUGGAUUAAAAAACGCACCAAGUGAAUUUCAACAUAUUAUGAAUGACAUAUUCAAUAAUUAUACUAAAUUCACAAUUGUCUAUAUAGACGAUGUAUUAGUUUAUUCAAACUCAAUCGAACAACAUGUUUAACAUUUAGAAACAUUUUUACAUACAGUCAAAAAACACGGUUUAGUAAUAUUACUCUCUACUUGAAUGGGUGAAUGGUCUACGGAAGAAUGUGUAGAAAAAGGCGUUUUGGUAAUCGGUGUAGGUGUAUCCGGGUAUGUAAAAGCCGGGAGUAUUGAAGGGUUUUUGAGUAUGGAGGUUGGUGAAGCCGAGGUCUCGGUAGGAUGCAACACGGAUAAUUUUGCAGGUUGAGUAGUCUAUUUGGUCUGGGUUAUUUUGGUUUUCAUGAUGUACAAUUGAAGCAGACAUAGAGUCUACUAGAAUGUACUCGUAGAAGGUUUGGUUUUUGGUUACAUUGUCUGUUGUCCAUAGGCUUGUUUCGUAGAAGACGCGGUUGAUAUAGUUUUGGAGUUCUUUUAGGGUUAUUGGUUUUGAAAAAUGGGUUGUAUGGAUGUGUUGGUAAUAGGGUUUUGUAUAGUAGUCGGACUUUUGAGUAGGAGUUGGUGGUUUCGAAGAGGUAUGGCCAGGAUUUGGAUUAGCUGCUUUUGCAUAUGAUAAGGGAGAAAACUCCGCAAGGGCUGAGAAGGUGUUGGUAGUUUGAGUAAGAUGUUUGUCUUGAAGGCGCGGUUGGUUUUGGAUAUAGUCGAGGGCUGUCAUUGGUCUUUUCUUUUUAUCUGCCAUGUUGAAUAUUCUGUUGAUUACGAUUUCCCUGUAAAUAUUCACGAGUUAAAAAAUCAGGUAAAGAAUUAUUUUCUCCUUUUAUAUAUUGAAUAUCGAAAUCAAAUACUGAUAAAAUUGCUUGCCAUCUUGCAAAAAUUUGUUUUGAAACCAAAUUUUUGACAUCUUUUUGUAAAAUCUCUUUCGCUGAAUUAUUUUAAUACUUUAUUAUUAUAUAAUAUCUUUUAUAAAAACUGUACUUAUUUGUACCCUAAAAUAAUAAAUAGAGUAUAUUUAGUUGUAUAAAAUAAAAUAAAUACGCAAGAAGCUCUAGAAGCAGUGACGCAAGCAGUGACGCAAUCAGUGACGUAAGCGAUGACGCAAUCAGUGACGUAAGCGAUGACGCAAGCAGUAACGUAAGCAAUGACGCAAUAACGAUGUCGGCACCAUUAGAUGAAAGACACGUGUACUCAACCAAUGAAUCAACGCCACAGCUCAAGCUUAUCAAGCAAGCCUCUUCGCCUAUAAAUACACAAGCUAUGGAGACAAAUGGGGCAUCAAAAGUUCUCUAAAGCCCUCUCGCUCUAAAAAAUUCUCACUCUAAAAAAUCUCUGCUCUCACCCCCUUAGUAAUACUCUCUACUUAUUGCGGUGAAGAGCUGAAAGUUUUAAAUUGUCAAAUUGCUCCACGGAACCUUCUAGGGAGCUACCUCACUAGACAGGUGGUAAACAAAUAUGCUUAUGUAAUGUAACAAUAACAAGGAGAUGGCUUUUUAUUCCGAGGAGGACAAGAGUGAAGACUACCUCAUCAAGAUUGUUCUCGUUGAGGAUUGUGCAGUCCGGACAUCAAACUUGCUUGCAAGAUUUGCAAGGGAUGAGAUAUUGGUAGAUGUUGGUUGUGUAUUGUUGGAUUUGCUUCUUGCUGGAGAUUAGGUUCUGAAAACGUAAACUUCUGUAUUAAUUUAUCAAGUUAUUUAGUGUGGUUCUUAUGUGUUCAAGACUGUGACAAGGCCGUUGGCAUAAAGCUUCGUUAGACUUCAAGAUGAUAGCAAAAUCUUAAAUUUAAACUCCAAACACACAAGCUUUAAUUUGUUAUGCCAUUAAUAAUAUAACAAUGCACAAAUGCCAUAAUUUUAAAAAACAACUAUUUUCAUCUUUUUUCUAAAUACAAAAAAAAAUUGGGGUUAAAGUUUAAAUUUAGGCUUUAGGGUUUAGAUUUAGGGUUUAUGUCAAACAUAAUAAACCAUAUAUACUCAGACCUUAUAUCAUCAUAGAUAUUGUAUUUUAAACUUUUAAUCAUAAUACUAAAUUAUUAACCACACAGCAUAAUGCUUAAAAAGUUAUAAACCCUAAACCCUAUAUACUCAGACCUUAUAUCAUCAUAAAAUUUUCAUUCUACACUUUUAAUCAUAAACACUGAAUCCUAAACUAUGAUCACAAACCUUUAAUUUGAAAACUUUAAAUAUAAACUCUAAUUCUUUGUGAGUUAUACUUUUAACUUAUAAUUUCAAACUUAAACUCUAACCUCUAUAUACAUAUACCCCAAAUUAAUACAACACUUCAAACCCUAUUCUCUAAUAAACCAAAAAAAUACAAUCUAAUCUUUUCAAUCAAACCUUAAACCCUAUAUACAUAUACCCCAAAUUAAUCACAUACCCUAUUCUCUAACUAAAAAAUCUUAAACCUCAAUAUUUUAAUUAUUUCAAUUAUGUAAUUUUAAAUCUUAAAUUCUAAUAUUAAAUAUUAAAUCUGAAAACUAUACUCCAAACCUUUAAUCUAAUACCCUAAACCCCAAAUCAAACCCUACAUACAAAGCCAUAAACCUAAUGUUUACAAAUAAUCUAAGUACUAGACUAAAACAUGUUCCUUAUAGAAAUUGUAAAUUAUCAAUUUUUUUGUAAAAUAUUUAUCCUAAAUUUUAACUUAAUCCCAAUUCUAUUUAAAAAACCUCAAACCAUAUACUUCAAACUUAACCACAACUACAUAAAAUAAUAGUCAACAGUUAUAAUAUUAAUAUUGACAGAUUUUUAAAAUUUGAGCCGUGAAAUAAUGAUUAUAAAAUCUUAAUUUUAUAUCAAACAUCUAUUUUUUUUACAAAAAAAUAUAAACCAAAAGUCAUCAAAAUAUUAAAAAUAUAACAGCAAAAGAUAAAAACAAAAAGGAAAAACUCUAUUGGAUAAUUAAUAAAAAAAAGAAAGAAAACUACAGGCCAAUCCGCUCUCAUCACGCGGAUCACCCUCUAAGCCGUAGGAUACAAUUAAAUCAGCGGAUGAAAUUUUUUUAUUUUCUUAUUUUCUCUUCUUUUUUUAUCUCUCUCUCUUAUCUUCACAGAUCUCUAUUUUUUUUAGAUCUCUCCAUCUUCGACAAAUCUCUCUAAUCUUUACAGAUCUCUUUUCCUUAACCAUUCACACACACGAUUCAUCUCACAGACAUCUCUCUGUCUCACUCUCCUAAUCUCUUUUUCUCACACACGACACAUCUCCAACCAUCUUCUUCAGAAAGGCGGACAAGGCGCAAAAGCGACGGUGGAGGCGCUCUGCGUUGGCUUCUCCUCCUCACCACCACCACAGGUCAACUCACUUCACCUUCUUUUUAUCUGCUCUCUUGUUCUCGUCAUCUUCUUAUAUAUUUAUGAUUGAUUUUUUUGUUUUGAUUACAGAUUUAAUAAGGAGCAAGGCAAGGAGAAGAAGUGGCGUUACAUAGCGGCGUCUCCGGUCAAGCGUGGUGCAGCGGUGGUGCAAGCCGGUGGUGGGGUGGUGGUCGUGCUGUGGAGAUGCGAGCAUCAUGGUCGGCGGAGACUGAAGAAGAAUGUAGUUUGGUGGAUGUAUUAGGUUUAGUUAGGGUUGAUUAGUUAACCAAUGUAAUUUUAAGCCAAUUUGGAACUGUAAACCAAUUUGUAAUUGUAAACCAUGUAAACCAAAAUUCGAUUUAUAAAAAUAUCAAUUU